Molecule: ribosomal RNA, 640 nt
Filed under: Helix pathetica
Lineage: Eukaryota; Metazoa; Mollusca; Gastropoda; Stylommatophora; Helicidae
Description: partial small subunit ribosomal RNA
Source: RNAcentral
CCGAAAACGGUUCCACCUCUAAAGACCAUUCGUUAUUGUGCUACCUUUAUCUGUUGCACGCCAUCAUGGAACUCAUUGGGUUGCCAGUUGAGAAACUUUGUAAGCUAAGAAAUUAGGCUCAUGCUGCCAACUAUUAAAACGACUCUUAGAGUGCCAGCAGUCGCGGUCAUACUUUAGUUUAAAAUAAAGAGAACCAGGACAUAUGUAAGUUGAUUAACAUCUGUAGUGAAAUACGAAACACAAUACUUAAAUACUUUAACACCACUAAAUACUGGCCUCAAACAGGGAUUAGAUACCCCUUUAUGCAGUCCGCAAAACUUGUCCUGGGCACUAAGAUUACUUAAUUGAAACCCACCUAACAUGGCGGUAGUUUAAAUCUUUAGGGGAACUUACUAAUUAAAUGAUAACCACCAAGACAACAUACGUCAAGUCACAUUUUACAUACCGUCGUCGGCAGAUAUACUAUAAUAGGAUAUCAAUUUACCAUCACGUAAAAGGACAGAUCAAGGUGUAGACCAUCUUGACGACUUAGCGAGUUACAAUACUUAUUAAAUUCGCAUACUAGUUGAAUUUCUAUAUUAACGCCGGACUUAAAAGUAAUAGUUAUGAAGCAUACACUAUGAAUAGUUUUAAUCUGUGC